AUUGAACGCUGGCGGCAGGCCUAACACAUGCAAGUCGAGCGGAUGAAGGGAGCUUGCUCCUGGAUUCAGCGGCGGACGGGUGAGUAAUGCCUAGGAAUCUGCCGGUAGUGGGGGAUAACGUCCGGAAACGGGCGCUAAUACCGCAUACGUCCUGAGGGAGAAAGUGGGGGAUCUUCGGACCUCACGCUAUCAGAUGAGCCUAGGUCGGAUUAGCUAGUUGGUGGGGUAAAGGCCUACCAAGGCGACGAUCCGUAACUGGUCUGAGAGGAUGAUCAGUCACACUGGAACUGAGACACGGUCCAGACUCCUACGGGAGGCAGCAGUGGGGAAUAUUGGACAAUGGGCGAAAGCCUGAUCCAGCCAUGCCGCGUGUGUGAAGAAGGUCUUCGGAUUGUAAAGCACUUUAAGUUGGGAGGAAGGGCAGUAAGUUAAUACCUUGCUGUUUUGACGUUACCAACAGAAUAAGCACCGGCUAACUUCGUG
This 483-nucleotide ribosomal RNA is filed under the name uncultured bacterium. RNAcentral's name for it is "partial 16S ribosomal RNA". It matches the Rfam family "Bacterial small subunit ribosomal RNA", at positions 30 to 507 of the family's 1533-position model. The record is from RNAcentral.